This 519-nucleotide ribosomal RNA is filed under the name uncultured bacterium. Its description in RNAcentral is "partial 16S ribosomal RNA". It matches the Rfam family "Bacterial small subunit ribosomal RNA", at positions 29 to 523 of the family's 1533-position model. The record is from RNAcentral.
AACGAACGCUGGCGGCGUGCCUAACACAUGCAAGUCGAACGAGAAAGGGGCUUCGGCUCCGAGUAGAGUGGCGCACGGGUGAGUAACACGUGGGUAACCUGCCUCUAAGAUUGGGAUAACUCGUCGAAAGAUGAGCUAAUACCGGAUAAGACCACAGUUCCUGCGGGAACAGGGGUCAAAGGUAGCCUCUGCUUGCAAGCUAUCACUUAGAGAUGGGCCUGCGCACCAUUAGCUAGUUGGUAGGGUAACGGCCUACCAAGGCAAAGAUGGUUAGCUGUUCUGAGGGGAGGAACGGCCACACUGGGACUGAGACAAGUGGCAGACUCCUACGGGAGACAGACGUGGGGAAUAUUGCGCAAUGGGCGAAAGCUUGACGCAGCAACGCCGCGUGAGUGAUGAAGGCCUUCGGGUCGUAAAGCGCUGUCGGGAGGAACGAAUGCUCCUGAGGUUAACAGCCUCGGGAGGUGACGGUACCUCCAAAGGAAGCACCGGCUAACUCUGUGCCAGCAGCCGCGGUAA